RNAcentral lists this transfer RNA (76 nucleotides) under Shewanella piezotolerans WP3. RNAcentral describes it as "tRNA-Lys". Lineage: Bacteria; Pseudomonadati; Pseudomonadota; Gammaproteobacteria; Alteromonadales; Shewanellaceae. The record is from RNAcentral.
ACUUGUCAAUUAUUGAAUUAGAACAGCGAAGGUGCGCCCUAUGAAUAAAAGCAUGCUCAUGAUUAUUUUAUUGCUG